GCCCAGACUCCUACGGGAGGCAGCAGUGGGGGAUAUUGCACAAUGGGGGAAACCCUGAUGCAGCGACGCCGCGUGUGGGAAGACGGUCCUCUGGAUUGUAAACCACUGUCCCCAGGGACGAAGAUGACGGUACCUGGGGAGGAAGCUCCGGCUAACUACGUGCCAGCAGCCGCGGUAAUACGUAGGGGGCGAGCGUUAUCCGGAUUCACUGGGCGUAAAGGGAGCGCAGGCGGCACGGCAAGUCCGGUGUGAAAGCCCGGGGCCCAACCCCGGGACUGCACUGGAAACUGCCGGGCUGGAGUGUCGGAGGGGCAGGCGGAAUUCCUGGUGUAGCGGUGAAAUGCGUAGAUAUUAGGAGGAACACCGGUGGCGAAGGCGGCCUGCUGGACGACGACUGACGCUGAGGCUCGAAAGCGUGGGGAGCAAACAGGAUUAGAUACCCCAGUA
RNAcentral lists this ribosomal RNA (447 nucleotides) under uncultured bacterium. Its description in RNAcentral is "bacterial SSU rRNA". It matches the Rfam family "Bacterial small subunit ribosomal RNA", at positions 329 to 792 of the family's 1533-position model. The record is from RNAcentral.